RNAcentral lists this ribosomal RNA (398 nucleotides) under uncultured bacterium. Its description in RNAcentral is "bacterial SSU rRNA". It matches the Rfam family "Bacterial small subunit ribosomal RNA", at positions 28 to 419 of the family's 1533-position model. The record is from RNAcentral.
GACGAGCGCUGGCGGCGUGCCUAACACAUGCAAGUCGAGCGGAGACAGUGAGUAGCUUGCUACGAGCUGUUUUAGCGGCGGACGGGUGAGUAACGCGUGAGCAACCUUUCCCAGACAGGGGAAUAACACACCGAAAGGUGUACUAAUACCGCAUAAGACCACGGGAUCACAUGGUUCUGGGGUAAAAGAUUUAUCGGUUUGGGGUGGGCUCGCGUCCGAUUAGGUAGUUGGUGAGGUAACGGCCCACCAAGCCGACGAUCGGUAGCCGACCUGAGAGGGUGAUCGGUCACAUUGGGACUGAGACACGGCCCAAACUCCUACGGGAGGCAGCAGUGGGGAAUAUUGGGCAAUGGGGGGAACCCUGACCCAGCAACGCCGCGUGGAGGAAGAAGGUUUUC